RNAcentral lists this ribosomal RNA (401 nucleotides) under uncultured bacterium. RNAcentral's name for it is "bacterial SSU rRNA". It matches the Rfam family "Bacterial small subunit ribosomal RNA", at positions 355 to 773 of the family's 1533-position model. The record is from RNAcentral.
UAGGGAAUAUUGGUAAUGUGCGAAAGCGCGAACCAGCAACGCCGCGUGCACGAUGAAGGCCUUCGGGUUGUAAAGUGCUUUUAGAGAGGAUGAGGAAGGACAGUACUUUCUGAAUAAGCCUCGGCUAACUACGUGCCAGCAGCCGCGGUAAAACGUAGGAGGCUAGCGUUAUCCGGAUUUACUGGGCGUAAAGCGCGUGCAGGUGGUUUCGUAAGUUGGAUGUGAAAGCUCCUGGCUUAACUGGGAGAGGUCGUUCAAAACUGCGAGGCUUGAGAGUGGUAGAGGGAGGUGGAAUUCCGGGUGUAGUGGUGAAAUGCGUAGAUAUCCGGAGGAACACCAGUGGCGAAAGCGGCCUCCUGGACCAUUUCUGACACUCAGACGCGAAAGCUAAGGUAGCAAAC